GACAGCGUGGCCGAGCGGUCUAAGGCGCUGGUUUUAGGCACCAGUCCGUAAGGGCGUGGGUUCGAAUCCCACCGCUGUCA
This 80-nucleotide transfer RNA is filed under the name Polistes dominula (European paper wasp). RNAcentral's name for it is "tRNA-Leu". It matches the Rfam family "tRNA". Rfam says of the family: Transfer RNA (tRNA) molecules are approximately 80 nucleotides in length. Their secondary structure includes four short double-helical elements and three loops (D, anti-codon, and T loops). Further hydrogen bonds mediate the characteristic L-shaped molecular structure. tRNAs have two regions of fundamental functional importance: the anti-codon, which is responsible for specific mRNA codon recognition, and the 3' end, to which the tRNAs corresponding amino acid is attached (by aminoacyl-tRNA synthetases). tRNAs cope with the degeneracy of the genetic code in two manners: having more than one tRNA (with a specific anti-codon) for a particular amino acid; and 'wobble' base-pairing, i.e. permitting non-standard base-pairing at the 3rd anti-codon position. The record is from RNAcentral. Lineage: Eukaryota; Metazoa; Arthropoda; Insecta; Hymenoptera; Vespidae.